CCCUUAGAUGUUCUGGGCCGCACGCGCGCUACACUGACGAUGGCAACGAGUUUUUCCUUCGCCGAAAGGUGUGGGUAAUCUUUUGAAACAUCGUCGUGCUGGGGAUAGAUCAUUGCAAUUUUUGAUCUUGAACGAGGAAUUCCUAGUAAGCGCGAGUCAUCAGCUCGCGUUGAUUACGUCCCUGCCCUUUGUACACACCGCCCGUCGCUACUACCGAUUGAAUGGUUUAGUGAGGACUCCUGAUUGGCGCCGCCGCCCCGGCAACGGAGCAGCGGACUGCCGAAAAGUUGUUCAAACUCGAUCAUUUAGAGGAAGUAAAAGUCGUAACA
Molecule: ribosomal RNA, 329 nt
Filed under: uncultured eukaryote
Lineage: Eukaryota
Description: partial 18S ribosomal RNA
Rfam family: Eukaryotic small subunit ribosomal RNA
Source: RNAcentral